AACAACUCCAGUUGUCCAGUGUUUGAUUUGUAAAACUGUUUCAAGUACAGGACAAACUGGAGGCAUGGGACAGGACAA
This 78-nucleotide microRNA precursor is filed under the name Medicago truncatula (barrel medic). RNAcentral's name for it is "MIR5286 microRNA precursor family". It matches the Rfam family "MIR5286 microRNA precursor family". Lineage: Eukaryota; Viridiplantae; Streptophyta; Magnoliopsida; Fabales; Fabaceae. The record is from Rfam by way of RNAcentral.